UGACGCAGAUGCUCGUCUCCGAGAUUAAGCCAUGCAUGCCCGCGAAGAAGGGAGCGGCGAACGGCUCAGUAGCACCGCGGCGAUCUGCCCCGCGCGAGUAAUAACCGCGGGAAACUGCGGCUAAAAGCGCGGGCUGAGGCGCGGYCCCAUCAGCUAGUCGGCGGUGUAACGGACCGCCGAGGCGACGACGGGUGCGGGGGGUCGGGGCCCUGUUCCGGAGAGGGAGCCUGAGAGAUGGCUCCCACGUCCAAGGACGGCAGCAGGCGCGGAAAUUGCCCACUCCUCGUGGGGAGGCAGUCAGGAGACGUAGCGUAUGAGUGCACUGCAAACGCGUGUACGAACGCGAGCGGAGGGCAAGCUCGGUGCCAGCAGCCGCGGUAAUACCGACUCCGCGAGUGUCUGCGGUGGAUGCUGCAGUUAAAACGUCCGUAGUCAGGUCUGCAGCGAAAGCGCGCAGCUCAGAGGCGCGUGUGCUGCAGCGGCUAGCGGGGCGGACGGGGGGCGUGGUAUGCGCGGGCGAGAGAUGAAACGCCAGGACCCCGCGCGGACCAACGGCGGCGAAGGCGACGCUCCCGGACGCACCUGUGGAUCAAGGACGGAGGCCGGAGGAUCGAAAGUGAU
RNAcentral lists this ribosomal RNA (621 nucleotides) under uncultured Microsporidium. Its description in RNAcentral is "bacterial SSU rRNA". It matches the Rfam family "Microsporidia small subunit ribosomal RNA", at positions 19 to 661 of the family's 1311-position model. Lineage: Eukaryota; Fungi; Microsporidia. The record is from RNAcentral.